Molecule: small RNA, 1432 nt
Filed under: Caenorhabditis elegans
Lineage: Eukaryota; Metazoa; Nematoda; Chromadorea; Rhabditida; Rhabditidae
Description: Unclassified non-coding RNA C05D10.8
Source: RNAcentral
CCUAUGAUAGAGCAGAGAUGGCCGACAACUGUCAGGAAUAGCUCAAUUCAUCCACACGUUUCUUCCGCUCAUCCGUCUUAUAGAAGUCACUCUAUUGACGCUGCUGUUAACAGGUAACAUGGUUUUCCCCUUUGUAGGAUAUAUUUAUGUGUAUAUUUACUUUGACAACAUUUGAAAAUCCAAACAAACAAACAAAAUCGAUUUUUGAUUAAAUUUUUUUGAUUGCCCAAAAUGUCUUGAAAGUGUAGUAUAGUAUCUUUAUUAAAAAUUUUGAAAUUUUCAGCAAAGAGUAGGAAAAUUACUUAGGACAUCCCAAGUCGUCCUUUUCAUUUUUCAAAACUCAUUCUGGCCUUCUAUUUGCCGUAAGCUUCAGACUACUAUUUGGAGCACUGCAAAAUCUUGAAAAUUCCAAAAAAACUAGAUUAAUAGGAAAAAAACUAACAAGUUAUUAAUUGAUUUUCUGCAAAUCCAAUAAAAUUGAUGUAUGCAUAUCUAAUUUACCAAAGUUUCAAUUUGCAUUUUCAGACCCGGAAACACCGAAAUUUCUAUGCGUUUUCGGUUUUUAUUUCUGUUAAUUUGUAGAAUUAAACAAAAAUAUAAUUCUUAACAUAAAAAGUAAAAAGUUGAAAAUAAAUUUCAGGAACACAUUUUUUCUCAACUUUCAAUUUUGACUUGCCAAUUCUACUUUUAUCACAACUGUCCCAAAAUUCACGUGUUGUCGUAUUUUGGUGACAUACGCAGUUCCCCGAAUAAAUAUUAUUUCAAUCAAGCAAAAACCAUAUUUUGCAAACAAUUAUAGAAGUUCAUCCGCCUGCUUUCAUUCACCACAUCGUCCAUCCUUCCCGUCUCGAGGUCUUCAAAAAUACGACUAUCCAAUUUGUGGAGUAUCGCCUUCCAGACAUCUGUCAUACAAUCAUUUUUAUAAGUGAGUAGUUUUUUGCAAUUUGACAAACUUUUGAAAUAAUUUGGAGUUGGAAGGAAAUCAAAUUUUGAAAAAAUUUUAAAGAAGCAUUUAUUAAAAAAAUUUAAAAUGUAUGUUAUUUUUCAAAAUAUUUCCAGGUUAAACAUUUUAAAAGACCGACUUUUAAAAUAAAAAAGAAAACUAUUUUAAAAGUACUACAGAGAAAAGUUCUAAAAGGUAAUAAUUUUCACAACCUAAAAAUAUGUCUAAUUCUAAAUUUUUCGUUCAAAUUUUUUAACCACUAAAAUAAGCUGGAAUUCCUAAUUGAAAACAUACAUAUUUUUUUUGAAAAACUUUUGAAAAUCUCUUUCAGCAUUUUUUUAUUAAUUUUUGACAUUUGUAAAAGCGCAUUAAAACUCAAAAAGCAAGCUCAAACACAAAAAUACUUUUAAUUAAUUCUGAAAUCAAAAGUUUUCAGCCAAUCCGCAGCUGAAAUCGAAGAGAUGCUGCGAACACGACAAUUUCCGGAGG